GCUGACAUUAGAGCUGUGUAGUGGUUUUCUAGGACCUUUUCCACAAAGACACAGUCUGCACUUCGAUUACUGGCCUUCUGAGAGAGCAGAAAAACCACAGUUGCUAACAAGCCCAACGCUGCCCGGGGGCCAAGGCUGUGUCGUCAGUCCCAUGAAGAGACUUUCAGAUUUCCACCAUUUUUUUGGCAUUAGGAUGCUAGUCGUGUCUGUCUGGAGAAGAACCUGAAUUCACAAAGGCAGCCUUUGGUCGCACUCUAACUCUGUCUUUAACUGCUCCCUGCCGCGCACUGCUUGUCUAACUGACCAGGAUAUACAGGAAAGCGAUUAGAUGUGAACAAACAUGCGCGGUGCUCUAAAGAGUUGUUCUCUUUAUCUCAAAACUAUAAUGGCACUCUGAUACAGCCUUUUCUGUUUAUGCCAGUCUGUAAACAAAUCAUCUAUGAGAUAUUUAUCUAAUCCCAACCACAGUAUAAUACCUGAUUAGAGACAAGUAUGAUUGAGGCUUUAUGACACUGCUUUUACGUUGAUUGUGUUGAUACAUGUACAGACCCACUUAAGUGAAUUAAAGGCGUGUAAUGCGUA
This is a non-coding RNA of Maylandia zebra (zebra mbuna), 582 nucleotides long. The record is from RefSeq and is a predicted model, not a curated record. NCBI's taxonomy places the organism in Eukaryota, Metazoa, Chordata, Actinopteri, Cichliformes, Cichlidae.